Molecule: ribosomal RNA, 301 nt
Filed under: uncultured bacterium
Lineage: Bacteria
Description: partial 16S ribosomal RNA
Rfam family: Bacterial small subunit ribosomal RNA
Source: RNAcentral
CAGUAGCCGCGGGAAUACGUAGGGUGCAAGCGUUAAUCGGAAUUACUGGGCGUAAAGCGUGCGCAGGCGGUUAUAUAAGACAGAUGUGAAAUCCCCGGGCUCAACCUGGGAACUGCAUUUGUGACUGUAUAGCUAGAGUACGGCAGAGGGGGAUGGAAUUCCGCGUGUAGCAGUGAAAUGCGUAGAUAUGCGGAGGAACACCGAUGGCGAAGGCAAUCCCCUGGGCCUGUACUGACGCUCAUGCACGAAAGCGUGGGGAGCAAACAGGAUUAGAGACCCCCGUAGUCCUGUCUCUUAUACA